CAGCAGCCGCGGUAAUACGUAGGUGGCAAGCGUUGUCCGGAAUUAUUGGGCGUAAAGGGCUCGCAGGCGGUUUCUUAAGUCUGAUGUGAAAGCCCCCGGCUCAACCGGGGAGGGUCAUUGGAAACUGGGAAACUUGAGUGCAGAAGAGGAGAGUGGAAUUCCACGUGUAGCGGUGAAAUGCGUAGAGAUGCGGAGGAACACCAGUGGCGAAGGCGACUCUCUGGUCUGUAACUGACGCUGAGGAGCGAAAGCGUGGGGAGCGAACAGGAUUAGAGACCCCUGUAGUCCCUGUCUCUUAUAC
This 301-nucleotide ribosomal RNA is filed under the name uncultured bacterium. RNAcentral describes it as "partial 16S ribosomal RNA". It matches the Rfam family "Bacterial small subunit ribosomal RNA", at positions 509 to 807 of the family's 1533-position model. The record is from RNAcentral.